GGGGAUAUAGCUCAGUUGGGAGAGCGCGGCGUUCGCAAUGCCGAGGCCGAGGGUUCGAGUCCCUCUAUCUCCACCA
This 76-nucleotide transfer RNA is filed under the name SAR202 cluster bacterium Casp-Chloro-G2. Its description in RNAcentral is "tRNA-Ala". It matches the Rfam family "tRNA". Rfam says of the family: Transfer RNA (tRNA) molecules are approximately 80 nucleotides in length. Lineage: Bacteria; Bacillati; Chloroflexota; Dehalococcoidia. The record is from RNAcentral. RNAcentral also lists the same sequence under 7 other names.